UUUAAAAGAAUGUUUAACAUGCUUUUACAAGAUCGGAGAAAGAUAUUAAAGUUAAGAGAAAUUAUAAGAGUGACAUAUACUUUAAAUCGGAACAACAAUCACGACGGUACAAAAUCCAUCCAAGCACCACAGUGUUUCUGGAAAAGAUUUUGGUAAUAUUUUAUAGCAAUCUUUAAUAGUAUCACAUUCUGUAAUGUACAUUAAAAAUAAUGAAAUAUUAUUAAAAUAAGGGAAAAAUUGUGUAUAAAAUAAACAAAAUAUAAAAUGAGAAAGAGCUUACUAUAAUGAUAACCAAAGACUGCAACGUUAAAAAGGGAAACAAAAAGGAUCACAAUAUAAGCAAGCUUAAGAGUUUGAGCCAUUUUUUUUCCACCUUUGCAUCUUACAAAUAUAAACUGAUUUAAUAACUUUAUAUAGUAAAAACCAUUUCUUAUGUUUACAUCAAUUAGGUAGUUUUUAAUGAUUAUGUUGUUGUUA
Molecule: long non-coding RNA, 477 nt
Filed under: Trifolium pratense (red clover)
Lineage: Eukaryota; Viridiplantae; Streptophyta; Magnoliopsida; Fabales; Fabaceae
Description: long non-coding RNA (TPRA_LNC014356)
Source: RNAcentral